This 424-nucleotide long non-coding RNA is filed under the name Homo sapiens (human). RNAcentral's name for it is "small nucleolar RNA host gene 20". The record is from RNAcentral. Lineage: Eukaryota; Metazoa; Chordata; Mammalia; Primates; Hominidae.
UGUAGUUUUCGCCUGUCCAGGACGCCUUCACCCCUGCUUCCUUUGAGAAAAGUCCCUCUCCCACUCCAAGUGGUACUGACGGGGAUCACCCACACAAAAGAAACCUGGAGGCUCCCCUCCUGGGGCACCCGGCUUCUGCUCCAACCAGGUUUCAACAGAAAAUGAGAAAUAUCCCCCGACGAUUGGCUGAAAACAUGCAGCAACCACUAUUUUCUUCCUGCCCCUCGUUGAUGAGAGCAUUCGAAGUGACCUCAGCAGGGCAUCCAGAUCAAUUAUGCAGCUACAGCCAAAACCAAGUUCUUUUUAUUGCAAUGGUAAUGAAAGGAGCCCCGUGUAAGUCACUGGAAGGUCACAUGUUCACAGACUGUCAGCUGUGGAGGGUUAUGUAACAGUGGUUAUGCAAUGCCACGUUAGAACUACAGCC